Molecule: ribosomal RNA, 450 nt
Filed under: uncultured bacterium
Lineage: Bacteria
Description: partial 16S ribosomal RNA
Rfam family: Bacterial small subunit ribosomal RNA
Source: RNAcentral
CUACCAGACUCCUACGGGAGGCAGCAGUGGGGAAUAUUGCACAAUGGGGGGAACCCUGAUGCAGCGACGCCGCGUGGGCGAGGAAGUAUUUCGGUAUGUAAAGCCCUAUCGGCAGGGAAGAAGAAAUGACGGUACCUGAAUAAGAAGCACCGGCUAAAUACGUGCCAGCAGCCGCGGUAAUACCUAGGGGGCAAGCGUUAUCCGGAUUUACUGGGUGUAAAGGGAGCGUAGACGGUCCUGCAAGCCAGAUGUGAAAGCCCGGGGCUCAACCCCGGGACUGCAUUUGGAACUGUAAGGCUAGAGUGUCGGAGAGGCAGGCGGAAUUCCUAGUGUAGCGGUGAAAUGCGUAGAUAUUAGGAGGAACACCAGUGGCGAAGGCGGCCUGUUGGACGAUGACUGACGUUGAGGCUCGAAAGCGUGGGGAGCAAACAGGAUUAGAUACCCGGGUAC